Long non-coding RNA from Podarcis muralis (Common wall lizard), 2061 nucleotides. NCBI's taxonomy places the organism in Eukaryota, Metazoa, Chordata, Lepidosauria, Squamata, Lacertidae. The record is from Ensembl.
AUGCCCUGGAUUCCUGUCUGGCAGGUGCUUGCUGCCUGCUUCCGGUGGGAAGAGGGUGGAGGGGCAGAUCUCAUGCCUGCUCCUUCUUCCAAUUCUCUACUGCCCACCACCCCACCCGCAAAGCAAUCCCUUGCCUACUCCCCAGCCCCCCCCAAAAAAAGAAGCAUUUUGAACUGCUCCGAAAGACAAGUGCAAAGCCCACCCCCACCCCCCACCGCAACCUCAAGCCCAGGCGCGCUUCUCGCUAAGCAGAGGUCGAGCAGACCCGGGCACAAAAUGGCAGGGCUCGCUGCGAAGGCAGCAGCGCGGCAGAAGUUUUGGCACGCGCGGGGCACGGCGAAGAAGCGAAACUUUUGGUCGCCAUUGAUUCCGGGGCUGGGGAAAGAGGUGUUAAAAGGGGGAAGCUCAGCGGCCGGCUGGAUCGCGCAGCAUCCGUCCAAGACGCUCCGGCGCUUAAGAGAAGUAAUCAACGAUAAAGUGACGUUGAUCUGCACUGUAACCUUGUGGCGUAUUUAAUGUAAAUAAGCAGUUAUGUUGCCAAUCGCACGCAUGCAAACAGAGAAAGGUCCUCAGCGUUGCAUUUUGAUGCUUUCCAUUAAGGCUGACUUUAUUUACAUACACUAUUUAGGGGAAAGAGAGGGGGGAGAAGAGGAGAGAGGGAGAGGGAGAGGAGAUCAUGAUGGUACGAAGACAAUACUAGUGCCAAAUGAUUAUGAAAAUAUGAUUUUAAUUAAUCACGUAGUAGGCAAGGAAAUUAGCAUACGGUAAUUAAACUUCCAGGGGAAAAAAAGGGAACGAAAGAAAGAAAGAGGGAGGGGGGAAAAACACGCCAUGAAGGUUCUUUUUGCCUUAUGGGUCUGGAAUAAUCGGGGGGGGAUAUAUAUAGAUAUAGAUUUAAAAUAUGAGAUUCCCACUCCCCCCUCCUCCUCCUCCUGCGCUCCAAUGCUUAUAUUAUAAAGCAGAUAACUUUAAAGGAAAAGAAAAGCCAGCAACUUUAGCAAGGUUGAUCUGCUGAGGAAGGUCUAGGAAAUAGCCCAGCAGAAGGUGAGAAACGGGGAGUAGGGGGUAUGUGUGGCUACUGAAGUAAAAGAAGAGAGGGAAGCGGGGCAGAAGGGGGGUCAAAAUGGAGUGGGGGGGAGAGAAAGCUGAAUAAUGCAAUUAUGGAUUCUGUGUCCCAUAGUUGACAAAAGCAUGGUGCCUCAAUAGACUCUUUGUGAUGGGAUUAUAUAAUGAUUGUGGGGUAAUUAUGGGAAAAAAGAGAUUUAGUCAUAAUAAAAAAAGUAUCAAAAUACAUCAGCUUCUUUUAAAAGGAAAAAGCUAGCUCACGAUAUUAGGGGCAUGUUAAUAGGAAGGGGGGCGGUGGGAGAGAGAGGGAGAGAGAGAAAGGCAAGAUCCGAACGAGCUGACAAAUAAAGAGAAGACUGUGAUGCGCAUGAUUAAGAAGAGAUGGAGACAGAUUGAUUAUUCAAAAUGCCGAGCCACAGGGACACUUAAAACAUUGAUUCAGGUAACACUAGUUUCAUCUCAACUGAAAUGAGUUCCCUGAAGAUGACUGGCAUACAUUUUAAAUCAGUUUAUGCCGUUAAAAAAAGAGAGUGAAAGAGAGAAAGAAAGAAAGCAGAAACAACAUCACAAGCAGAAAUCUUCUAACAUAAACGCAGAAGUCCAUGCAAGUGGAGGUGGGAUUAGAUUUCUGGCAAUUCCCCGAAAGAAUAAUAAAAGUAUGUGAGGGUGUGUUUAAUUACUCUCUUCCUUAAAUGUUCCCAUUAUUCCUUUCCAUCCGAUUUGAGAGGGAUGCUUACUCGUUUUUCACAUUAUAUGAGGUUCCAUCCCCCAUCCCUCAUACAAAUGGGAUGACUUUUUAAUCAGCUGCCCCCAAAAAAGAGAUUUCCAAAAGGAUUUUUUUAAAAGGAAGUUUCUCUUUCCCCACCCCUCCUGACUUUUUUGUUUUUUGCUUUUGUUUUGAAGAAGUUUAAGAGCAGUUCUUUAAGACUGGUCCUAGAAAUGUGGGGAAGAAGAGACCAGUUUUCAUGUCCCGUCUUCCAAAGUUUUGAAAUUCAC